GAUGAACGCUGGCGGCGCGCCUACACAUGCAGUCGAACGGUUAAAGCAUCUUCGGAUGUGUAUAAAGUGGCGAACGGCUGAGUAACACGUGGGCAACCUGCCCUUUGCACUGGGAUAGCCUCGGGAAACCGAGGUUAAUACCGGAUACUCCAUAUUUGUCGCAUGGCGAAUAUGGGAAAGCUCCGGCGGCAAAGGAUGGGCCCGCGGCCUGUUAGCUAGUUGGUGGGGUAGUGGCCUACCAAGGCAAUGAUGGGUAGCCGGGUUGAGAGACCGACCGGCCAGAUUGGGACUGAGACACGGCCGCCAGACUCCUACGGGAGGCAGCAGUGGGGAAUCUUGCACAAUGGGCGAAAGCUGAUGCAGCGACGCCGCGUGCGGGAUGAAGCCUUCGGUGUAACCGCUUCAGCAGGACGAGGCCGCAAGGUGACGGUACCUGCAGAAGAAGCCCCGGCUUACUACGUGCCAGCAGCCGCGGUAAUACGUAGGGGCAAGCGUUAUCCGGAUUCAUUGGGCGUAAAGCGCGCGUAGGCGGUCUGUUAGGUCAGGAGUUAAAUCUGGGGCUCAACCCCUAUCCGCUCCUGAUACCGGCAGGCUGAGUCUGGUAGGGGAAGAUGAAUUCCAAGUGUAGCGGUGAAAUGCGCAGAUAUUUGGAAGAACACCGGUGGCGAAGGCGGUCUUCUGGCCAUGACUGGCGCUGAGGCGCGAAAGCUAGGGAGCGAACAGGAUUAGAUACCCUGUAGUCCUAGCUGUAAACGAUGACACUAGGUGUGGGAGAAUAUCUUUCCGUCCGCAGCUACGCAUAAGUGUCCGCCUGGGAGUACGGUCGCAAGACUA
RNAcentral lists this ribosomal RNA (834 nucleotides) under Fannyhessea vaginae. RNAcentral's name for it is "bacterial SSU rRNA". It matches the Rfam family "Bacterial small subunit ribosomal RNA", at positions 28 to 896 of the family's 1533-position model. The record is from RNAcentral. Lineage: Bacteria; Bacillati; Actinomycetota; Coriobacteriia; Coriobacteriales; Atopobiaceae.